GGCUGGUUCGAUGGUAGUAGAUUGUUAUCAGAACUUAUUAGUGUCACAAAAGUCGGUGUAUACCCCCCACUGCUAAAAUCUGACUGGCUAAAA
RNAcentral lists this non-coding RNA (93 nucleotides) under Piliocolobus tephrosceles (Ugandan red Colobus). Lineage: Eukaryota; Metazoa; Chordata; Mammalia; Primates; Cercopithecidae. The record is from RNAcentral.